GAUGAACGCUAGCGGCAGGCCUAACACAUGCAAGUCGAGGGGCAGCACAGAAACAGCAAUGUUUUGGUGGCGACCGGCGGACGGGUGCGUAACGCGUAUGCAACCUACCUUUAACAGGGGGAUAACGGAGAGAAAUUUCCACUAAUACCCCAUAACAUCGAUCAAGGCAUCUUGAUUGGUUGAAAACUCCGGUGGUUAAAGAUGGGCAUGCGUUGUAUUAGGUAGUUGGUGAGGUAAUGGCUCACCAAGCCUACGAUACAUAGGGGGACCGAGAGGUUAGCCCCCCACACUGGUACUGAGACACGGACCAGACUCCUACGGGAGGCAGCAGUGAGGAAUAUUGGUCAAUGGGGGAAACCCUGAACCAGCCAUGCCGCGUGCAGGAAGACGGCUCUAUGAGUUGUAAACUGCUUUUAAACAGGGAUAAAGCACAGUAUGUAUACUGUGUUGAAGGUACUGUAAGAAUAAGGAUCGGCUAACUCCGUGCCAGCCGCCGCUGUAA
RNAcentral lists this ribosomal RNA (502 nucleotides) under uncultured bacterium. Its description in RNAcentral is "partial 16S ribosomal RNA". It matches the Rfam family "Bacterial small subunit ribosomal RNA", at positions 28 to 523 of the family's 1533-position model. The record is from RNAcentral.